ACAGUGUAGGAUCCGGUCAACAGGACCAGGACAGCACUGGCUACACUGGCUUAUUGAUUACAUCCCACAAUAGAAAGGAUGCUCAGGCAUAUGGCCUCAGAAACAUGGGCUAUUGAGACAGAGAAAAAGACAACUCUGGAAGGAGAGAGCCUGGACUUACAGAAGACAUCUGAACUAUUAAUCAACAGAAAUCUCACGUAUAGUUGAAGAAUCAGAAAUCUGAGCGUAGGAAGAAGUGGGUUAGCCCUGGAGAAAGGAAAAGGAGGAUCAUAGUUCUCUGCAAAGAGCUGGAAGCUAAAAAGCAGGCUGUGUUUACUUACCAACCAGGACACAGUGGGAUCUUUGCCAGCUUCCAAUAUGGCCUUAAAAGUAUAUGAAAUCCAAGAAAUAUUUCUGCAAAGCAAGAGAUCUUCACUGCUUUAUUUUCCACCACCUGAAUCCUUGCAGUGAGUGUAGUGUGUAUCUAAUCAAUCUAUUAAAAAAUACUUCAAAAGUUCUA
This 499-nucleotide non-coding RNA is filed under the name Pan troglodytes (chimpanzee). Lineage: Eukaryota; Metazoa; Chordata; Mammalia; Primates; Hominidae. The record is from RNAcentral.